RNAcentral lists this long non-coding RNA (643 nucleotides) under Heterocephalus glaber (naked mole-rat). Its description in RNAcentral is "lncRNA (ENSHGLG00100033259.1)". The record is from RNAcentral. Lineage: Eukaryota; Metazoa; Chordata; Mammalia; Rodentia; Bathyergidae.
CUGAAAGAAAAGAACUGCCAACCCAGAAUUCAAGAUCCAUCUGGAAGAUCUUUUCUCAUGAAAAUAUCCUUCAGGAAUGGAAGAGAAAUCAAGACUUUGCAGAAGAAGGAAAAUUAAGACUAUUUGUCAGCAGCAGACACUCUGCAAAGGAGCUGCUAAAAGAAUUUUCUAAACCAAAAGGAAAAAAUAAAAAGAGAUUAGAACAUUAGUAAGGAACAAAGAACACAAUAAACAAAAAUAUUGAAAUUGACAAGCUGAUUCUGAAACCCACAUGGAAAUGGCAAGGACUUACAGUAGUCAAAACAGUCUUACAAAAGAACAAAGUUGGAGGACUAACAUUGCUUGAUUUUUGAGACAAUAUAAAGUUAUAAUUAUCAGGCUACUGGAGGCUUCUGCUACUGGCGCAGCUUAUGUCACACAUAAAAAAACCCAACAAUUCCUUUUUUGUCCAUAUGGGGCUCCUGAAGUCAAAAGCCUUAUGAAUGAAUUAUCUUCUGAACACUAUGGGUUAUUUCUGGUUCUUCUCAAGCCUGUGAUUCCAUCUUUUUGAAGCUAUGAAUAACUCUAGGAGUAAGGCAGAAAUGGACAGAGGAUGCAGUUGUGUUUUGCUCUUGAACACAAGAGGGGAUGGCCACUCGGGAGG